CCCAGCAGUAGGCAACUGCCGGCUGCCUCGUACCUAGGCAAAUGUUACACUGCUGGGAGAAAAGCAGCUAUAACUGGCCAGCAUUCUGGGCCUGCUUAAUGCCAAAUUUGUGUUAACUAU
RNAcentral lists this small nucleolar RNA (120 nucleotides) under Ochotona princeps (American pika). RNAcentral describes it as "Small nucleolar RNA SNORA74 (ENSOPRG00000022280.1)". The record is from RNAcentral. Lineage: Eukaryota; Metazoa; Chordata; Mammalia; Lagomorpha; Ochotonidae.